CAGUCGCCGCGGGAAUACGAAGGGGGCUAGCGUUGCUCGGAAUGACUGGGCGUAAAGGGCGCGUAGGCGGCCAUUCAAGUUAGAUGUGAAAGCCCUGGGCUCAACCUAGGAAUUGCAUUUGAUACUGUUUGGCUUGAGUUCGGGAGAGGUGAGUGGAAUUCCCAGUGUAGAGGUGAAAUUCGUAGAUAUUGGGAAGAACACCAGUGGCGAAGGCGGCUCACUGGACCGACACUGACGCUGAGGCGCGAAAGCGUGGGGAGCAAACAGGAUUAGAUACCCCCGUAGUCCCUGUCUCUUAUAC
This 301-nucleotide ribosomal RNA is filed under the name uncultured bacterium. RNAcentral's name for it is "partial 16S ribosomal RNA". It matches the Rfam family "Bacterial small subunit ribosomal RNA", at positions 509 to 807 of the family's 1533-position model. The record is from RNAcentral.